Molecule: long non-coding RNA, 1022 nt
Organism: Talpa occidentalis (Iberian mole)
Lineage: Eukaryota; Metazoa; Chordata; Mammalia; Eulipotyphla; Talpidae
Exons: 6
Source: RefSeq, a predicted model, not a curated record
AUGGAGUUGGAACCAGGAGCUGGAUCCUCUAGCAACAGGCUGGCUGAAGGACUGAGUCCUUGAAGAGAAGCUGGUCCAGCAUUUGGAGAGUGGCUCAGCCAGAGGGGCAUGUCAUGUGACCAUGAUGACAGGCGUUCAUUCAUAAUUUGAUGAGAUCUCCACCUAGAAUCUGGCAGCCUGACAACCCAGCACCUGCUCAACCCCAGCAGUGAGGCAGGAGUUCCUCAGCAGUAAAUGAAGGGUUAAUUAAGAACUGUGUAUCAAGAUGUUAUCGGGGAGAAAAGGAGAGGUAAUGCACUUUAAAAAUUACAAUUCAAGGAACAGAACCUCAAUCCAAGCCUCAGAAUCCACUAGUCUUGUUCAAAAUCCAGAUUCCUGAGCCCACUCUUCAUUCAUCAAACCAGAAUAUUUUAGGACUCAGCACAUGGUUUAUCACAGCGAAAGGAUGCAACGCAAAAUCAGCCCAGGGAAAUGGCACAUUUGGCAAAACCAGAGGAAGAAUCAGCUUCCAAGAACAGCUUCCAAGAAUCCUGUCCUUUUGGAGACACAGAAAAGUGAGCCACAUUGAAAGUGUGAUGCUUUAUGUGCCACGGUGAUAUCUAUUGGCACAAUCAUGAAAAGCUCUGUUUUGAGUAGUUUCUUGACAGUGGAAAUGGCUUUGUACUGACUACACUCCAUCAGACAGCCCCUGGAACAAUCAAGAAGAGCCGUUCACAAGAUGCCAGAUUUGACUUGGGCACAGAGAAUGUGGUCAGAGAACAAGAGGGCCAGCACCUCUCAAAUAAAACACAAUCUACUUAGAAUAAUAGAAGAACCAUACAGAAUGGCUACUGCAAAUGAACAGAUUCUGUUUUGUCCAAUAAGAUCAUCAAGGCAGAAGAGCUUUACUCAAUGCAUCAUUUAUUUCAAUGAAGGCCAAACUUCUGGGAUGUGAACCCCUUUCAACAUUGGAGAAUUGCUUCCCCUCCUGGCAACAUAAAUAUACUACCCCAGAAUUAAGGGGGAAAUUAUAGUGGUUUUAG